RNAcentral lists this long non-coding RNA (1079 nucleotides) under Homo sapiens (human). RNAcentral's name for it is "HSALNT0373966". Lineage: Eukaryota; Metazoa; Chordata; Mammalia; Primates; Hominidae. The record is from RNAcentral.
UCAGCCUCCCAAAGUGCUGGGAUUACAGGUGUGAGCCACCUCACCUGGCCAAAAUGUGAAGUUUAUUAUAUGUCAGUUGCACCUCAGUAAAGAUGUUUUUUGAAAGGAGGAAAGAGGGAGAGAAGGAGGACGGUAGGCGGGUGGGCAGGCAGUCAGGCAGGCACCAUCUAGAAAGCCCUGAUGAAGCCAAUGACUUAACAAACAUCAAUGAAUGCUAAAACAAUUAGAUAAAGGAUAAUAGGGAAUAUUAUAUCAGGCCAUAACCACCUAUAAUCACUAGUCAACCUUAGUAUCAUUAAAAUGAGACAACCAGACAUUAUGUGCUUCCUGAUGUGAUGUGAUGUGAUGUGAAGUAUAAAGCAAUACAUGUAUAGUAUUUUUGUCAAAAAUUUUAAGAUUUUAGCUGAAUCAAAUUGAGUCUUCAGAUCCAACUUCCAAUCUACAGGCAAAACAAGAAAGAGAAAAUCAAGCUAAAAGACGCCAGGAGGAAGCAAUUGACUAAAUCCAGAACACGGAACAUUCUGGGCACUGGGAAGGACAAUUGCUUUUAGGCCUUCCUUAUUUUGAGGCAUUUUUAAUAAAGCUGUAAAAUAAUACGUUUUUAAAGAGAGGGAAAAACUCAUGAGUUCCCACUGAUAUAUCCAAUUCUAAUUUGAAAUUUAAAGAUUUCAAUUCUCUGAUUUUACAUGUGUGUUUCAUUUCCUGUGUGUGAAUUGUUAACACAACCUUAGCUCAAGCCAUCAUGUCCUCCUCCCUAGGAUUCUUCGGUAGUCUCCUAACUGGCCUUCCUAAAUUUACUCAUGCCAUUCUCCGCAGCAAAGAAUGGAUUUUUUUUACACUGUGAUUUUUUAUUUUGAAUUUAACCUACAGUUUAUACAAGAGAUUUAUAAGACAUGAACUUGGAAAACAGAACAAAAUGUAAUUGAGGUAUAAGAGCACAGUAUGUCAUGUUUCAAUAAAUAUAAUUCAAAAUUUUUAAAUGAUCAAAUAGAUGAGCCUUGCGUUUUACUAAACCCAUGUGAAAUAUUUGUUUCUUGCAUGGGAGGUAGAGAAAAACUGUAUUCCUUAAUGCAAUCACC